RNAcentral lists this small nuclear RNA (275 nucleotides) under Peromyscus maniculatus bairdii (prairie deer mouse). RNAcentral's name for it is "7SK RNA (ENSPEMG00000002560.2)". It matches the Rfam family "7SK RNA", at positions 12 to 303 of the family's 331-position model. From Rfam's summary of the family: 7SK was discovered as an abundant small nuclear RNA in the mid-70s but a possible function has only recently been suggested. Two independent studies have found that 7SK RNA binds the CDK9/cyclin T complex (known as elongation factor P-TEFb). The record is from RNAcentral. Lineage: Eukaryota; Metazoa; Chordata; Mammalia; Rodentia; Cricetidae.
GGAUCUCGCUCUGUAGACCAGGCUGGCCUCAGAUCCCCAGGAUUAAUUUGACUGUUCUGGGUGCCUAGCUUGGUGCUCCCUUCCUUUAUCACCUGUCGGGUGAUUCCUUCCCAAUGCCUCACACACACUCAGUCAAAGAGGACAACCUUCCCUGAUAGUGGAGGAUUAUUCUUCAUUCAGGGUUUAUGAGUAGCUGUGAUUUUUCUGCUAGAACCCCCAGACAAGCUCUCAAAAUGGAACAAAACUUAGAAUGCCACAAGAUCAUGUGUUAAUUG